GUAACUUCUUAGACAAAGUCUAUAAACAGUCUCAGGACAAUAACAACUCCAUUCUAGAAAGAAUAUCCCAACUUUUCUUCAAUCUCAACCCCAACUGCAUCUGCCUGUCAACUUCCAGCUUACCAAAGCUCUGUAUCUUCUGACAGUGACAAAGGCUCCUUCUAUGGUAUGUAUUCAUUUCGUACCACCGUAGUGGAAGAGAGACUAUCCCUAUCAAUACACCUGGUAACAUUCCCAACAGUAAGUCGUGAGAUUCUGCUUGAAAUCACCUCUCAGACAAAUAAAAAACAGUCCUGGGAAAUGUACGACACUCAUUCUGCUAAAGAAAUAGGGCAAGAAAGCUUUCUAAGACCCCGAACUCCAGAUAUGCGAUGGGGCAAAUCCUGAAGCGUACAUGGCUAUCUCU
This is a long non-coding RNA of Homo sapiens (human), 406 nucleotides long. Lineage: Eukaryota; Metazoa; Chordata; Mammalia; Primates; Hominidae. The record is from Ensembl.